AAUGAUGUGCCUGACUAAAGGGUUAUUUUGAUAGAAUAAAUUAAAUAAUAAUAUUAUCUUCAUUA
Molecule: transfer RNA, 65 nt
Filed under: Podagrion sp. JY-2018
Lineage: Eukaryota; Metazoa; Arthropoda; Insecta; Hymenoptera; Torymidae
Description: tRNA-Ile
Source: RNAcentral